This 335-nucleotide long non-coding RNA is filed under the name Zea mays. RNAcentral describes it as "long non-coding RNA (ZMAY_LNC000002)". Lineage: Eukaryota; Viridiplantae; Streptophyta; Magnoliopsida; Poales; Poaceae. The record is from RNAcentral.
AAAAUUUGAAGGGCCUGAUUACAUUUGAGCUGGCACAAAAUGUUUUGUCGGCGUGGAGGAGAGAGGCUUUGCUUUGGCAGAGUUGCAUUACAUAGUUAAACAAAUUGCACCAGAGAUCUGCUAUGGCUCUGGAGGCUACUGGCAUUCUGAGACGCCAAAGUUGAGCCUCAAUUUUACAAGCUGCUAAGACCUGCUGCAGGGAUUGAGUUUCAUUCCUGGAGACGAUACCAUUCCAACGCUUCCAAAGCUGCCAGCAGCAUAAUGCAAUGAAAGUUCCAAACUGCUCCUCAGGGAUGGAACUCCGUCCGGUAUAACUCGCUGAUCGGUUGAUCAGU